Molecule: ribosomal RNA, 2898 nt
Filed under: Clostridioides difficile
Lineage: Bacteria; Bacillati; Bacillota; Clostridia; Peptostreptococcales; Peptostreptococcaceae
Description: 23S ribosomal RNA
Rfam family: Bacterial large subunit ribosomal RNA
Source: RNAcentral
GGUCAAGUUAUUAAGGGUGCAGGGCGGAUGCCUUGGCACUAGGAGCCGAUGAAGGACGUGAUAAGCUGCGAUAAGCUUCGGGGAGUUGCACGUAAACUUUGAUCCGAAGAUUUCCGAAUGAGGAAACUCACUUAGAGUAAUGUCUAAGUAUCAUUAAGUGAAUACAUAGCUUAAUGAGGGGAACUCAGGGAACUGAAACAUCUAAGUACCUGAAGGAAGAGAAAGAAAUUCGAUUCCGUAAGUAGCGGCGAGCGAACGCGGAUUAGCCCAAACCAAUAAAGUUUUCUUUAUUGGGGUUGCGGACAUAUCAUAACGAAGAGGUAUCGUAAUUGAAGAGGUUUGGAAAGACCCACCACAGAAGGUAAUAGUCCUGUAUGUUAAACGAGAAGACUUUAGAUAUGAUCCAGAGUACCACGGGACACGUGAAACCCUGUGGGAAGCAGGAGGGACCACCCUCCAAGGCUAAAUACUACCUAGUGACCGAUAGCGUAUAGUACCGUGAGGGAAAGGUGAAAAGAACCCCGGGAGGGGAGUGAAAUAGAACCUGAAACCCUGCACUUACAAGCUGUGGAAGCACAUUUCUUGUGUGACCGCGUACUUUUUGUAGAACGGGCCAACGAGUUACGUUAAGUAGCAAGGUUAAGCACUUAAGGUGCGGAGCCGUAGCGAAAGCGAGUUUUAACUGAGCGUUCAGUUACUUGACGUAGACCCGAAACCGGGCGACCUACCCAUGAGCAGGAUGAAGCGAAAGUAAAAUUUCGUGGAGGUCCGAACCCACGAGCGUUGAAAAGCUCGGGGAUGACUUGUGGGUAGCGGUGAAAUUCCAAUCGAGCCCGGAGAUAGCUGGUUCUCCCCGAAAUAGCUUUAGGGCUAGCCUCAAGGUGAGAGAUACGGAGGUAGAGCACUGAAUGUCCUAGGGGGUAUUGCACCUACCGAAGACUAUCAAACUCCGAAUGCCGUCAUCUUAUACUUGGGAGUCAGACUGUGGGUGAUAAGAUUCAUAGUCGAAAGGGCAACAGCCCAGAUCGUCAGCUAAGGUCCCUAAAUGUAAGUUAAGUGGUAAAGGAUGUGGGAUUGCACAGACAACCAGGAUGUUGGCUUAGAAGCAGCCACUCAUUCAAAGAGUGCGUAAUAGCUCACUGGUCGAGUGAUCCUGCGCCGAAGAUUUCCGGGGCUAAAACUUACUACCGAAGCUACGGCAUCAGUAAUGAUGGGUAGGGGAGCUUCCCAUACGGGUUGAAGCAUGACCGUAAGGACAUGUGGACAGUAUGGGAGUGAGAAUGUUGGCAUGAGUAGCGAGAUGUGGGUGAGAAUCCCACAGGCCGUAAACCCAAGGUUUCCAGGGGAAGGUUCGUCCGCCCUGGGUUAGUCGGGACCUAAGCUGAGGCCGAAAGGCGUAGGUGAUGGACAACAGGUUGAUAUUCCUGUACUACCGAUAACCGUUUGAGAGAAGGGAUGACACAGUAGGAUAAGCUAAGCACACUGUUGGUUAUGUGUGCCCAAGCAUUGAGGCAGUCAAAGUAGGUAAAUCCGCUUUGAUAAUGCUGGGAUGUGAUGGGGAGCGAAAUUUAGUAGCGAAGUAGCUGAUUUCACACUGUCAAGAAAAGUCUCUAUCGAGGUUAAAGGUACCCGUACCGCAAACCGACACAGGUGGGUGAGGAGAGUAUCCUAAGGCCAGCGAGAGAACUGUUGUUAAGGAACUCGGCAAAAUGACCCCGUAACUUAGGGAUAAGGGGUGCCACCAUCAGGUGGCCGCAGAGAAUAGGCCCAAGCGACUGUUUACCAAAAACAUAGGUUUCUGCUAAGUCGCAAGACGAUGUAUAGGAGCUGACGCCUGCCCGGUGCUGGAAGGUUAAGGGGAUCUGUUAGAGCAAUCGAAGCAGUGAACUUAAGCCCCAGUAAACGGCGGCCGUAACUAUAACGGUCCUAAGGUAGCGAAAUUCCUUGUCGGGUAAGUUCCGACCCGCACGAAAGGCGUAACGAUUUGGGCACUGUCUCAACAACAGACUCGGUGAAAUUGUAAUUCCGGUGAAGAUGCCGGAUACCUGCGACAGGACGGAAAGACCCCAUGGAGCUUUACUGUAGCUUGACAUUGGGUCUUGGUACUACAUGUACAGGAUAGGUGGGAGGCUUUGAAACCAGGACGCCAGUUUUGGCGGAGCCAUCCUUGGGAUACCACCCUUGUAGUACUGGGACUCUAACCAUAGGCCAUGAAUCUGGUCUUGGGACACUGUCAGGUGGGCAGUUUGACUGGGGCGGUCGCCUCCCAAAAGGUAACGGAGGCGCUCAAAGGUUCUCUCAGUACGGUCGGAAAUCGUACGUAGAGUGUAAAGGCAAAAGAGAGCUUGAUUGCAAGACAUACAGGUCGAGCAAGGAUGAAAAUCGGACUUAGUGAUCCGGUGGUUCUGCGUGGAAGGGCCAUCGCUCAACGGAUAAAAGCUACCCUGGGGAUAACAGGCUUAUCUCCCCCAAGAGUCCACAUCGACGGGGAGGUUUGGCACCUCGAUGUCGGCUCAUCACAUCCUGGGGCUGUAGUAGGUCCCAAGGGUUGGGCUGUUCGCCCAUUAAAGUGGUACGCGAGCUGGGUUCAGAACGUCGUGAGACAGUUCGGUCCCUAUCCGUCGCAGGCGUAGGAAAUUUGAGAAGACCUGUCCUUAGUACGAGAGGACCGGGAUGGACGUACCUCUGGUGUACCAGUUGUCCUGCCAAGGGCAUGGCUGGGUAGCUAUGUACGGAAUGGAUAAGCGCUGAAAGCAUCUAAGCGCGAAGCCAACUUCAAGAUAAGAUUUCCCACCGCAAGGGUAAGACCCCAGAAAGACUAUCUGGUUGAUAGGUCGAAGGUGUAAGUGCAGCAAUGUAUUUAGCUUAUCGAUACUAAUAGGUCGAGGACUUGACCAA